AAAAAUGUAUUACUUGUUAGUACGGGAUUUCACUGAUGGAACAUCAAUCACACUUGAUCAAUAAAAGAGAUUCAAUUCAAUUCAAUCACACUUGCCGACGGCAUGCACAAUUCAAUUUUUGAUAACCGCAAAGGUUAGUAGUAAAUAAAAGAGAUUCUAUUCAUCUAAGUGGACAUGGAGAAAAACAAUUGGAUUCAAUUAAUCAUGCAUGUGGUCUUUUGCUUAGGAUACUAAUUAUUUCCCAGUUUCAAACGUAGGAACAUUGAAAAAUCAAAGGACUCGGGGGCUAUGAGGAAACAAAAAUAAAAAUGAGGUUAAAAUUACAUGUUAGUUCAUCAAAAUUGGGGUUUGGGUCUACUUGGUCCUAAACUAUAAAAAAUAUUUAAUAAAUUUCUAAACUUUCAAUUUUGUGUCUAGUACAUACAUGAAUUUUUAAAAAUUUGAAAGUUCCAAGAACUAGAUGGACACAAACCUCAAGGUUUAGGAACUAAAUUUGCAAUUAAACUUAUUUGACCUGAAAAGGUCUCUUCCAAACAUUCAAAUGCAUUACAAGAUUUUUUUUCUUAUUUAAAAAAAAUGUUUCCAAGAAAAAAUCGGAUCGGUAAAGGACCCAUUUCAGAGGAUCAAGGCUUCAUCAUAAGCACAAUUCACUAGACAACCUUGAUCUAUUAUUGGUUACGAUAUAGCACUAGCCUCUUGAGUACCUUUAGUAUUUGAGUAUCUUUUCUAAUAUUUGUUCUAUUUUAUUUCCUUGAUAAAAUUCAAAAGAGAUAAUAAAUUGUGGUUCCAUUUAAUUAGGUGGGAUAUUUUUUUGAAGAUUAGCGAGAAGGGGGCACACUAAAGUAUGCGCAGCUCCCUUGAAAAAAUGUCAAUGGCAUUCCCCACUCAAAAAUGAUUGCUACUCAAGGCAUGAGGUCAUUGACCAUUGUGAAUACGGGUAUCAUUGAACCGGGUGGUAUUAUUUGUUAAGCUAUAGUGAUCGGAGAUUUUUGUAUUUCGAUCCUUGACAUCUACCUGCAGCUUUUUUUCUCUUAGUUGAUUGUCCCUUCAGUUUGUCAAAUUCCUUCACAUUCUCCUUAAAUCUUCAAAACAGUAAAACUUUCUUGAGUGGUCACAGAUUCCUAGUUAAAGUGUUAUUCAGAAGCAGUUCAGUUCAGGAUACACUUUUUCACUAUACUAGUAUAAAAUUCUUUUGUAGAGAUUUUUUAGCCUUUUGGUCAAAUGUUGGACUAUGUUCUGUUUCUUAAACCUUUCUAAGAUAGAGAUAAGACUCCUUGGAAGGAAGUUAGUUUGGUUACUUCGCAGAACAUAUAGCUCCAGAGGAAUAGAAUGAUAUUUUGGGGGAUAGCAGGGUUUUGGAGAGAGGCCAGAUUGGUCGGCUUCUUUUUACAAGUUUACUUUCUUGUGAAGUUGGUUUUUCAUUAAAUAAUCAUUUUUAAAAAAUAACUGAAACCAACUUGUUUCUUAUAAGGAUCCAAAUCCAUAUGCAUUAUUGGCUAUAAACUUCCUUCUUUAUAAGAUGAUGUUAAAUCAUUUAACAUAUAGCGUCCUUGCAUUUGUCCUUCUUUGUUAGAAAUAACAUGUAACAGAAUUUCCUUGUGAGGUCUAGUUUGUGUUGUAUUCUAUGCCUGUACUUUGAGAUCAAAU
Molecule: long non-coding RNA, 1647 nt
Filed under: Cucumis sativus (cucumber)
Lineage: Eukaryota; Viridiplantae; Streptophyta; Magnoliopsida; Cucurbitales; Cucurbitaceae
Description: long non-coding RNA (CSAT_LNC002470)
Source: RNAcentral